AUUUUGUUUCGUAUGAUUUAUUGAUUUAGUUUUUGCAAGUUAUGUGUGUCAAGGUUAUUGCAACAUCAAUUAUGAAAAGAACAAAUUUUGUACAAGUUAUCUCCAAAUAAAGAGAGAAAUGAAGGCAAUGACAUAGUCAUGUGUGGGCCCAUAUCAGGCCAUGCAGGGGAAAUCACCCAGAGACAAGACAGGUUUAGUUAGUACUAGUGUUAUAUUGACAAGAGUUACUUGCCCUGCCGUCUAACUACAUUUUUAAAAACGUAAAGAAUGGCUGCCAAGGUGGUCGUACAUGUGUGUGUGUACAAAUGACUGGAAAAAAAUGAACUAAAAACAAAACAAGUUAAAAACAUGUUUACAUAAUCGAAUUAGAUCAUUCUAAAAGAAAAGGGGGGG
Biomphalaria pfeifferi is the source of this 393-nucleotide non-coding RNA. NCBI's taxonomy places the organism in Eukaryota, Metazoa, Mollusca, Gastropoda, Planorbidae. The record is from the annotation of a GenBank genome assembly.